GACGAACGCUGGCGGCGUGCUUAACACAUGCAAGUCGAGCGGUAAGGCCCUUUCGGGGGUACGACGAGCGGCGAACGGGUGGAGUAACACGUGGGUGACCUCGCCCUCCAGCUCUGGGAUAAGCCUGGGAAACGUGGGUCUAAUACUGGAUAUGACUCCACGGUGCAUGUCGUGGGGUGGAAAGCCUUGUGCGGCUGAGGAUGGGCCCGCGGCCUAUCAGCUUGUUGGUGGGGNGAUGGCC
Molecule: ribosomal RNA, 241 nt
Filed under: uncultured bacterium
Lineage: Bacteria
Description: partial 16S ribosomal RNA
Rfam family: Bacterial small subunit ribosomal RNA
Source: RNAcentral